This 4280-nucleotide small RNA is filed under the name Mytilus galloprovincialis (Mediterranean mussel). Lineage: Eukaryota; Metazoa; Mollusca; Bivalvia; Mytilida; Mytilidae. The record is from RNAcentral.
AUGAAAUCCGACUUUAAACCUAAAAACCAAAGACCUUAUAGACUUCCACCUGAUAAAAAAGAGGCCUUACGUGAACACCUUGAUGAACUCCUUCGUCAAAAUAUAAUAGCGCCAGUCAGUGAAACUGAGGAUGUUCCAAUAAUCAGUCCUAUUGUUUUGGUUUCAAAACAAGAUCGAAACAAGAAACAACAAGAAAAUUCACAAAAGAGCAGUGCUAAGUACAGAUUUUGUUGCGACUUUCGCUAUUUAAACUCCCAAGUUCAAGAUUUUUCGUAUUUUAUUCCUGAUCUGACCGAACUAACUGAAUCAUUUUCUGGGAAAACUCCAAAUUAUCUGGCUUCAAUCGACUUAAGCUCAGGAUUUUUCCAAAUGCCUGUAGAUAAAGACAGCCAAAAGUACACUGCGUUCAAUACAUGUUUUGGAACUUUCAAAUUUCGUCGACUUCCAAUGGGGUUAAGUUCUGCGCCUUCAUCAUUUCAGUUAUUGAUGGAUAAAAUUCUACAGGGAUUGACAUUUAAAGUGUGCUUAUGUUACUUGGAUGAUAUUCUUAUAGCAUCAGAAACUUUUGACCAACAUAUCGAUGACUUGAACACUGUUUUCGGCCGCUUGAAAGAAGCCGGUCUUAAACUAGGACCCAAGAAAUGUAGCUUUGCACAGCAGUCAUGCGUUUUUCUGGGGCAUUUAAUUUCCAGCAAAGGCAUUCAGCCCCCACCGGAAAGGUUGCAAGCGAUCAAGGAUUAUCCUUCUCCAAAAUCUGUUAAAGAACUACGCCGUGUCGUCGGUCUACUAAAUUGGUUUAGAAAAUACAUUCCAAAUUUCAGCUCAGAAAUAGAACCAAUGACAAAAUUACUUAGGAAAAAUAUGAAAUUUCGGUGGUCUGCGGAGCAAGAAAAAUGCCUUUCAAAAACUGAAAAAAAAUUGCUUUUAAAUUCACCAGUUCUUGCAUUUCCAAAUUACAAUAUACCAUUUCAUUUGGCUGUUGAUACAUCCAGUAAGGGCAUAGGAUACGUUCUUUACCAGAUUCAUACUGAUGAGCAUGAAGAGGACAUGAUCAGAGUGGUCCGUUUUGGGUCAAAAUCAUUAAGUCGUUGGCAAAGAUCUUAUGGCCCCACCAAACUUGAAUUACUUGGAAUGGUGACUGCAAUUCUUGAUUGUUCUGUAUACUUGCGUGGGCGUAGAUUUAUCGUUGAAUGCGAUCACCAGGCUUUAAAGCCUUUGUUUCAAAAACAGCUGAAGGGAGCAAUUUAUGAGCGCUGGAUCGCCAUACUCCAACAAUAUAAUUUUGAUCUUCGCUAUAAACCAGCAAGGGAUAUGCAGGUUGCCGAUGCCCUAUCGCGUAUUCCGCGACAGGAGAUUUCCGAUGGAUUUAUUAGUCCUGAUAUUGAAGACCCAUAUUUCCCGUAUAAGGAGGAAAUCGUAGGUGAUAUAAACAUUGAAGGUGGAUACAAAUUUCCAUCAUUUAGACAUUCGGAUUCUAGUGAAAACGACCAGAUAAACAAUAUUCGAGUUGAUCAAAAUUUAACAUCAAAUUUCAAUUUAUUAAAUCCGGAUCAUCAACACAAACCCGACUUACAAACGACAGCAGAAUAUGAUGCCGAUACGGAAGAUGAUGUUCCUUGCAAACAAAACAAACUAAAACGCAAAAUUGUUUCAAAGAGAAAAUUACUUUCCAUUCCAAAUUUGAGAAUAAAUCCGUCCGAAAAUAACCCAGUUUCAGUAAACAACACAGAUAUAGAGAUCGUUUCCGACAAUGAUAUGAAACAAAAUAUUGAAAUACAAAAUCCGACAAAUACCGUAGAUACCGAUAUAAGCGUACCAUCAACAGAUCGUAGUAGUGAUGAUCAAUCAACUGUUUUAAAUGAACAUGAUUCGGAUAUUUUCAAUCUUACAACGGAUGUGAAUACGGAUCAUCAGGAUAACCAAAUGAGACGUCAAGUUGAAAUGAUAGAUCUGUUCGAGAGAUCUGACUUUAGUGUAGAAAGUUUAAGCAAUCUACAACGGAAAGAUUCAGAAUACGGAAAAUUUGUUUCGUACUUGGAUAAGGGAGAACUGCCGAAAUCACAAAAAGAGGCCCGAAAACUACUUUUGCAAUCGCCUGAUUUUAUGUUGAUAAACGGAUUACUUUUUCAUUCUCGAAUUGCAAAAUCAAAGCGCGCUAAAAAUCUAAAAAAUUACCAACUAGUUUUACCAGCAGUUGUAGUGAAAACCGUUAUUUCUAUGUAUCAUGACUCAUCUCUUGGCGGACAUGGCGGAAUACAACAUACAAUUGACUUAAUAAAGGAAAAAUAUUUCUUUUCAAAAUUGGCGCAGAAAAUUUCUGACUAUAUAAAAAGUUGUCCGGCAUGUCAAAGAAGGAAAUUGACAAAAAUCAACACUAAGGCCGGAAUUGUCGCAUACCGUACGCCAGAUUCGCCGUUUCAAGUGUGGCAAAUCGACAUUUUUGGACCAAUAAAUCCAAUAUCUCCAACAGGAAAUCAAUAUGUUUGCACGGCGAUUGACCUUUUUAGUAAGUUUGUAUUUGCCGAGGCUAUUCCUACCGCCGAUACUAUUACAGUGUCUGAAGUUUUAUUCAGGAUGGUUUCGCAGUUUGGUGUAUUUGAUACUAUAAUCAGCGAUCAAGGCUCCGAAUUCAUCAGUAAAUGUUUCAAAGAAGUUUGCCGGUUACUAGACAUAAAUCAUGAAUACACCCCGAGUUUUGCACAUCACUGUCUGGGUGCGUGCGAACGUUCGCAUAGAACUUUAGCCGAACGCAUGACUCCAUACAUUGCAGAUGGUAAGAACUGGCAAGAUUUAUUACCUUGUAUUCUUUUCUCAAUGAACAAUACCGUUAACGCCAGUCUAGGAUAUUCUCCAUUUGAGAUAGUUUACGGCAGGAGGCCUAAUUUUCCAUUAACCGGACAUUUUAGACAGGAUAUAAACACGCUUCCAAACGAUUGUCAUGAAUAUGUUCAAAAUUUGUGCGCAAGAUUAGAAAUAAUUCGAUCAGAAGUGAAAGAACAUGCAUUAACUUCUCAAAUAAAAAUGGUGGAACGUGUAAAUGACAGUUUGAACCCUCUACAGUACGCAGAACAUGAUUAUGUUUAUCUCAGCAAAAAUCCUACAGGACAGGGACAAAAACUGAAAUACCGUUAUGCUGGGCCAUAUAUCAUUCAUAAAAUUCACAGUCCUCAUAUGGUAGUUUUGAAGGACCCAGAUUCACAAAAAUGCCUUCCGAAUCCUAUUCACAUUAAUCGGGAUAAAACCGGCGUACGUGCGUCAACCAAAUCCUGCACAAUACUUCAUGGAUCAAGUUGAAACAAAAAUACAUGUAAAUACAACCACGGACCAAAAUACUGCAUCGGACUUCUCUGAAACAAGUGAAUUAUCGAAUACGACAGUGUCACAUUCUGAAAUAAAUGACAAUGAUUCAAAUGAUACAGAGAACGACACAGGAAAAAUUUUGAUGAAUAACAAUUCAAACAAUGCGACAGACGAACAAACAAAAAAGUGCAAAGGGAAAAGUAUUCAGUCCCCAAUCCGGAAAUCAACCCGAUUAAAAAAGAAACCAGCUCGGUUUGAAGAUGAAAGUUUCACCGAUCCAGGAGACAAAACUGUUUCGAGUGAUGAAAAUCGUUUUUACAAAGUUAAACGAAUACUUGCUAGGAAAAUUAUGGACGGAACAAUGAGUUAUUUAGUUCAUUUUAUUGGAGAACCGGCUCAAAAUGCCCGUUGGCUAAAGGAGUCCGAUUUUGACAAGAAAACCCGUGAUUUGAUAAAACGCCGACUACCUCCACAAAUUCUAUGAGUCGUUUUGUGUCCGUGAGGUUUACCUCAUGAUACACCGUUUUUUUAAUGUUUUAUUCAGUGUUUAAUUUUAUGGAAUGCUCAUAUUGUACAUAUUAAACGAAUUUUGUUGUAAAAUUCAAGACAAUUGCCAAUUUGAACAAUUUAUACUUUAAUGCUUGACGAGGAUGUUUAUUUCGAACCUUUUUGUCCUUGAGUUUUAUCUCAUGACAAGUUACCCGGAUGUUUACAGUGAUGCUUUACUGGAACUUUUUGUCCGUGAGAUUUAUCUCAUGACAAUUUAUUAAUCUGUGUACAGCGAUGCUUUUCUUGAACUUAUUGUCCGUGAGAUUUAUCUCAUGACAAUGCCCUAUGAUGAUGGUACAACGACUUUUUCUGGCGAACUUUUCAUGUUUUUGUCCGUGAGAUUUAUCUCAUGACAAUCCGUUACUAUGAUGUCAGAUGAAAUUCAGUACAGAGCGGAGCCCAAUUUCAAUGUUAUUCAAUGAGACUUUUUU